Molecule: long non-coding RNA, 2660 nt
Organism: Xiphophorus hellerii (green swordtail)
Lineage: Eukaryota; Metazoa; Chordata; Actinopteri; Cyprinodontiformes; Poeciliidae
Exons: 3
Source: RefSeq, a predicted model, not a curated record
GAAGAGAGAAAUUACAGAUUUCAUGUUGUUUGAUGAUUAAGCCUAAUGCAGCUUUUUGUUCAGUAGCAUCGUGCUUUCUUUUGUUUUACUGCCUCCUUUUCAAGAAGUUGCCCAGAAAUACCAUGUACCUGAAGGUAGACCGCUCACCACCGAUUGUCCCUGUACCACUAACCAAAGAGGAGGGGGGAGACCAGCAGCAGAACGAGUAUCUGCUGAGCACCACAGAAAAUGCAGAAAAUACUGCAGACCAUCAGUUCAUUAGACUUUUCUAAUUUUUUACCACUCUACUUUCCUCAAAUAUUACAUCCUUUUUGCCUAUCAAUCAGUCUUCAACAUCGUCAUCAUCACAUCCCUUACAUACCAAUCGCACAUGAUAUUAACACAUACACAUGUACACACAAAAACGUAUACCUUCCCCUCCCCACUUAUCUCUGCCUCUUUCUCUGGUGCAGAGCUAAUGUGCUGUGUCGGUCUAUUGAGAAAAGCCUGCAGCACUGUGCAGCACACUACAGUAUGAGCCUGUUCCAAUAUCACAGGAGCACACACUUACACUCUAUUGGGCUAUAUAGCCUUUUCAGUUUGAUACCCUCAACCACCACAUUAACUAGUGUCCACUGUUGACCAGACCGUGAUUCAUAUGUAAGGAGGAAAUUACUUAUUCUUGGUACUGCAAUCAAACAUGUUUUACAGCAAGCUGAGAGGGGUAACGUCGAAGCCAAAAAUAAUCUUUGUCAGUGGUCGUUAAUAAAACAUGUCAGUGUGGGAUUAGUUUUUGCUAUCUGCCUGGUUUUUCCAACGUGGUGAGGAAGGUUGUUGCUGUUACUUCCCUGACUCUCCAAAGGACGUAUUCACAGUCCCACAGUAGCUUGCCUGUGUAAGGGCAAGCCAGCUUCAUAGGUGGACUGGCCAUCUGGAGUAAUUGGCAAUGCCAUGUUGGCCAUCGCAAUUCACGGCUCAGGGCUGUUAUAACUUAAACCAAAAAAAUCAAAAUAUUUUUUGUUGACCUGAUUUUCUUGUAGGAUAGUUGGCUAAUCCAAUGAAAUCUCUUCUCCUCUCUCCUUUUACCAAAGUUACCAGAUUUUGCCAUUUAAACUGAGGGUUAAAAGUGACAUAAUUAAAUAAUUAAUGAAAUGUCAUUAAAAAUUUAAGGAAUUUAUUGUGUAUAUAUAAUUAAGUUGUAUAGUAUUCCAUUAAAUUAUUAAAAUUGAAAGUUAAAACACGUGCUAUGUAUUAAUAAUUAAAUGUGCAUUUAUUUGUUUCAUGGUUCCUGUUCCUGCAGUUCCACCAUGACUUAUUUUAUCUGUCAAACUCAUCCAUCAAAGUUGAGGGGCAGGGUUAAUUGAUGAAAAUGUUUAUUUAUUUUAAAUUAUUUUUAUUUUUAGUUAGCCAAAAUAAAGCCAAUUCUUUGAGGACUUUGAGACGGUUAUCCAUCCCUUCAGCUGGAUUACUGUAAUGGACUUAAAAGAAGAAAAGCAAAACUAGAGUUCUUAAUAAGUUCAUAAAGAAAGCUAGAGUCUGGAGGAUGCCAGGGAUGAAGGAAGACCCAAAGAGCGUCGGCCAAAGAAGCUUGGUGCCUGAAGAACUGCGGCGCCAGAAGAAGGGUCCUUAAGGUUUCCGUUGAGACCUGGGGAUGUCGUAAAGGCUCUGGAGCUGGGGAAGACGGCCCAUGUAGAGGAGCAGAGGACCACUUAGAGGCACCGAGGACACAUGUAGAGGCACUGAAUCAGGCACUGGAGACAGAUGUGGGUCGUCCUCGUCCCCCUCAGAGAAUGGAGACUAAGGUCCUCAGCCAAGCUCAGGAGGCUGGAGAUCACAGUGGAGCAAGCGGUGCAGAGAGGACAACAGAAUCGGGAAAGCAGAGAUCUGAGAUGAUUGAUGAUGGAAGGUGAGGAGCCCAUUUGUGUAGCACAAAAUUGCAGUGGGGUGGAAUCUGACUUGGAGUGGAGGUACUCUUUAAUAGUCGGUAAAAGUUAAUAAAAAUCUCUUCCGAAAAGGGAUCUGCUGGGUCCUGUGGGCUUGUUUCUUCUUGAGUGGUUGAGUGGUUUAUUGGUGGACCCAAAUACAGAUAGGCUGAGAUAUCAAGUAGAUGAUGCAGGUUUUAAUGAAAAAAAGAUGGUGAAACAACAAAACUUAUAGCCAUCCAGGUGAAAACAAUAUCAGGAACCAGGAACACAAGGAGCAUGACGAGGGGAAUAGACGGGGUACACCGGGUGAACCAGCAAGGAGCGUGAGCAGGAGAAAGGUUUAGAUACUGGUGAGCUAACAGGUUGCUGGUGUGAGGGGAGACAGAGAAACAGGAAGUGACACGGGGCAAGGGAAGGCACACUGGGGACUAGGAAAUGAAUCUGUCAUAAAAGAAUAACUGAACAUAACGAACAGCAAAACUAGGGUAACUAAGAGAGGACUAGACACAAGAAAUAAACAAUAAACUAAAAUCACAGUUUUUUGGAAUGGUGAACUUUUAUAAUGGUUUAAUUCCAGGGGAAGCUGACCUUAUAGACCCCCGGUACAAAGAGCAGCGUUUCUCAAUUUUGGUUCUCAGGCACCUUAAUAUUUUAUUUAGAUGUGUUUCUGUUCCAGAACACCUGAUUCAAAUGGUUGCAUAACAUCUUCUAUACUGCAGCAGCUUGUUAUUCACCCAUAUAUUUAUGUCAGGUGUG